GUUUGAUCCUGGCUCAGGAUGAACGCUAGCGGGAGGCCUAACACAUGCAAGCCGAGCGGUAUUUAUUCUUCGGAAUAGAGAGAGCGGCGUACGGGUGCGUAACACGUGUGCAACCUGCCUUUAUCUGGGAGAUAGCCCUCCGAAAGGGGGAUUAAUAUUCCAUAAUAUAUUAAUUGGCAUCAAUUGAUAUUGAAAGCUCCGGCGGAUAGAGAUGGGCACGCGCAAGAUUAGAUAGUUGGUGAGGUAACGGCUCACCAAGUCUGCGAUCUUUAGGGGGCCUGAGAGGGUGAUCCCCCACACUGGUACUGAGACACGGACCAGACUCCUACGGGAGGCAGCAGUGAGGAAUAUUGGACAAUGGGUGCAAGCCUGAUCCAGCCAUCCCGCGUGAAGGAUUAAGGUCCUAUGGAUUGUAAACUUCUUUUAUACAGGGAUAAACCUCUCCUCGUGAGGAGAGCUGAAGGUACUGUAUGAAUAAGCACCGGCUAACUCCGUGCCAGCAGCCGCGGUAAUACGGAGGGUGCAAGCGUUAUCCGGAUUUAUUGGGUUUAAAGGGUCCGUAGGCGGGCCGAUAAGUCAGUGGUGAAAUCUCGCAGCUUAACUGUGAAACUGCCAUUGAUACUGUUGGUCUUGAGUAAAUUUGAAGUGGCUGGAAUAAGUAGUGUAGCGGUGAAAUGCAUAGAUAUUACUUAGAACACCAAUUGCGAAGGCAGGUCACUAAGAUUUAACUGACGCUGAUGGACGAAAGCGUGGGUAGCGAACAGGAUUAGAUACCCUGGUAGUCCACGCCGUAACGAUGCUAACUCGUUUUUGGGCACUUGUGCUCAGAGACCAAGCGAAAGUGAUAAGUUAGCCACCUGGGGAGUACGAUCGCAAGAUGAAACUCAAAGGAAUUGACGGGGGCCCGCACAAGCGGUGGAU
Molecule: ribosomal RNA, 921 nt
Filed under: uncultured bacterium
Lineage: Bacteria
Description: bacterial SSU rRNA
Rfam family: Bacterial small subunit ribosomal RNA
Source: RNAcentral